Molecule: transfer RNA, 73 nt
Filed under: Felis catus (domestic cat)
Lineage: Eukaryota; Metazoa; Chordata; Mammalia; Carnivora; Felidae
Rfam family: tRNA
About the family: Transfer RNA (tRNA) molecules are approximately 80 nucleotides in length.
Source: Rfam by way of RNAcentral
ACCUGGCUGGCUCAGUUGGUGGAGUGUGUGACUCUCAAUCUUGGGGUCAUGGGUUUAAGCCCCACGUCAGGUA